Molecule: ribosomal RNA, 551 nt
Filed under: uncultured bacterium
Lineage: Bacteria
Description: bacterial SSU rRNA
Rfam family: Bacterial small subunit ribosomal RNA
Source: RNAcentral
UAAACGAUGUCAACUAGCUGUUGGGCCCUUCGGGGCUUAGUAGCGUAGCUAACGCGUGAAGUUGACCGCCUGGGGAGUACGGUCGCAAGAUUAAAACUCAAAGGAAUUGACGGGGACCCGCACAAGCGGUGGAUGAUGUGGAUUAAUUCGAUGCAACGCGAAAAACCUUACCUACCCUUGACAUGUCUGGAAUCCUUUAGAGAUAGAGGAGUGCUCGCAAGAGAACCGGAACACAGGUGCUGCAUGGCUGUCGUCAGCUCGUGUCGUGAGAUGUUGGGUUAAGUCCCGCAACGAGCGCAACCCUUGUCAUUAGUUGCCAGCAUUAAGUUGGGCACUCUAAUGAGACUGCCGGUGACAAACCGGAGGAAGGUGGGGAUGACGUCAAGUCCUCAUGGCCCUUAUGGGUAGGGCUUCACACGUCAUACAAUGGUCGGGACAGAGGGUUGCCAAACCGCAAGGUGGAGCCAAUCUCAGAAACCCGAUCGUAGUCCGGAUUGCAGGCUGCAACUCGCCUGCAUGAAGUCGGAAUCGCUAGUAAUCGCGGAUCAGCU